AGGUGUUUGCAUAGUAGUUAGGAUUAUGCAUUGUUUUCAUAAGUGUUAUGUUCAGUUUAAAAAAAAAUAAUUUUUAGUUAAAUAUUAUGUUUGCAUAUGUCCAACGGUGUUGCAGUUCAUGUUAUUCGUGGGCCAAUGAUGAGAUUGUGAACAAGUUAACCAAUACAAUAUUGAUUAUUAGAAUUGUGAUACAAUUUCUGUUAUGGAUCGAUUCUUGGACUUGUUUGAAACUGUUAUAAAAAGGUUAGCACUAAUAACAUCUUUGUUGACCGAUCAGUCCCAAUUGAUACAUAAAUAGGUUCUAAAGGAUUAUGCUAGAGUAAAUGAGAAAACGACAAGGAUAGGCAGUAAAGGCUAAAAUUAGGCAAGAACCUAAGUUUGGGGGAGUAUAUGUGGGGUACAUUAUCUAUUUAUAAAAGAAAAAAAAGAAAAAGGUAUACAUGGUGACUAGUCUUGUUUUGGGGCCUUUGUUACUUGAGCAAGUACGCCCGAGGGAAUUGUCUUUACACCUAGCGCCCUAAGGUCUUUUAUGGUCUGGGAGUCGUUGGUCGAAAGCUCGCUAAGGGGUAACACUGUUAGCCUAAUGGGAUGAGACAUUGCACAGUCACUUAUGUAUAUUUAGAAAAAAAAAUAAUAAGAAUAAAACGGUAAAAGUGCAAAAAGCCCCCGUGGAAAAAAAAAGAAAAAAAGAAAAAAAAUAAUGAAUUAAAAGAAGUAUCAGUACCUUGCAUGAACCCUUGAAUUUGGUAUUGUUUAGUUUUAGUUUUAAUUGUAAUAUGCCUAUUUUUGACAUUUUUUAGUUUGCACUGUAUGAGUCCUUCUAAGAAAUUAUUUAUGUGUUGAAUUGGAGUCCGUAUCAGUUUUCAUAGACGUUGAACACACACGCACACUAUAUCAGUGAUAAUUGUUUAAGAUUCGAGAAUUAAGAUGAAACUGUGGAUUGGUUUUGGUAAUUCAUAUUGUAAGGUUGCUUGUUUUCUCUGAGGCCGAGGGGAUAAUUUAGUUUC
RNAcentral lists this long non-coding RNA (1007 nucleotides) under Panax ginseng (ginseng). RNAcentral's name for it is "long non-coding RNA (PGIN_LNC018403)". The record is from RNAcentral. Lineage: Eukaryota; Viridiplantae; Streptophyta; Magnoliopsida; Apiales; Araliaceae.